RNAcentral lists this ribosomal RNA (253 nucleotides) under uncultured bacterium. Its description in RNAcentral is "partial 16S ribosomal RNA". It matches the Rfam family "Bacterial small subunit ribosomal RNA", at positions 524 to 776 of the family's 1533-position model. The record is from RNAcentral.
GACAGAGGGGGCAAGCGUUGCUCGGAAUCACUGGGCGUAAAGGGCGCGUAGGCGGGAUGGCAAGUCAGUCGUGAAAUCUCUCGGCUCAACCGAGAAACGUCGGCUGAUACUGCCGUUCUUGAGGGAUGCAGAGGAGAGCGGAAUUCCUGGUGUAGCGGUGAAAUGCGCAGAUAUCAGGAGGAACACCCGUGGCGAAGGCGGCUCUCUGGGACGGUACUGACGCUGAGACGCGAAAGCGUGGGGAGCGAACAGG